This 301-nucleotide ribosomal RNA is filed under the name uncultured bacterium. Its description in RNAcentral is "partial 16S ribosomal RNA". It matches the Rfam family "Bacterial small subunit ribosomal RNA", at positions 509 to 807 of the family's 1533-position model. The record is from RNAcentral.
CAGCCGCCGCGGGAAUACGUAGGUGGCAAGCGUUGUCCGGAAUUAUUGGGCGUAAAGCGCGCGCAGGUGGUUCCUUAAGUCUGAUGUGAAAGCCCCCGGCUCAACCGGGGAGGGUCAUUGGAAACUGUGGAACUUGAGUGCAGAAGAGGAUAGUGGAAUUCCAAGUGUAGCGGUGAAAUGCGUAGAGAUUUGGAGGAACACCAGUGGCGAAGGCGACUCUCUGGUCUGUAACUGACGCUGAGGAGCGAAAGCGUGGGGAGCGAACAGGAUUAGAUACCCGAGUAGUCCCUGUCUCUUAUAC